AGGAUGAACGCUGGCGGUGUGCCUAAUACAUGCAAGUCGAGCGGUAAGGUCCCUUCGGGGAUACACGAGCGGCGGACGGCUGAGUAACGCGUGGGAACGUACCCCAAAGUGAGGGAUAAGCACCAGAAAUGGUGUCUAAUACCGCAUAUGCUCUAAGGAGUAAAGCUUCGGCGCUUUGGGAACGGCCUGCGUCUGAUUAGCUAGUUGGUAAGGUAAAAGCUUACCAAGGCGACGAUCAGUAGCUGGUCUGAGAGGAUGACCAGCCAGACUGGGACUGAGAACGGCCCAGACUCCUACGGGAGGCAGCAGUAGGGAAUUUUCCACAAUGGGCGAAAGCCUGAUGGAGCAACACCGCGUGCAGGAUGAAACCUUUCGGGGCGUAAACUGCUUUUAUAUGUGACGAAUAUGACGGUAGCAUAUGAAUAAGGAUCGGCUAACUCCGUGCCAGCAGCCGC
RNAcentral lists this ribosomal RNA (455 nucleotides) under uncultured bacterium. RNAcentral's name for it is "SSU rRNA". It matches the Rfam family "Bacterial small subunit ribosomal RNA", at positions 26 to 518 of the family's 1533-position model. The record is from RNAcentral.